Molecule: ribosomal RNA, 375 nt
Filed under: Polyschismium chailletii
Lineage: Eukaryota; Evosea; Eumycetozoa; Physariida; Didymiaceae
Description: SSU rRNA
Rfam family: Eukaryotic small subunit ribosomal RNA
Source: RNAcentral
UCUCUCUGAAUCUGCGAACGGCUCCGCAAACCAGUUGUAAACUAUAGCAAGCAAUCCUGCGGGCGGCUUCGGCUGCUCGUGGGUAACAUGGAUAACCCUGGUAAUUCUGAGGCUAAUACAAGAACGUACUCCCUGGCUGACCGGCAACGGAAGGCUGGGGAGCGUGCAACGUAUCGUAGGGAUAAACCGGGAAUGGGUGCACGCUUGGACCGCGCUAAAGACAGAUCUCGGCGAGCCUUCGGGUGAGCCUUGGCCUGAGCGGCUCUUGCUGUGUGCUUCUGACCUAUCAACUAGACGGCAGCGUAAGGGACAUGCUAUGGUUACAACGGGUACAGAGGAUUAGGGUUCGAUCCUGGAGAGUGGGCCUGAGAGAUU